UCCGGAGGGUGCGAUCGUUAUCCGGAAUUACUGGGUUUAAAGGGUGCGUAGGCGGCUUUGUAAGUCAGGAGUGAAAGUUUGCGGCUCAACCGUAAAAUUGCUUUUGAUACUGCAGAGCUAGAAUCAGGAUGAGGUUAGCGGAAUGUGGCAUGUAGCGGUGAAAUGCAUAGAUAUGCCAUAGAACACCAAUUGCGAAGGCAGCUGGCUAGACCUGCAUUGACGCUGAGGCACGAAAGCGUGGGGAGAGAACAGG
This 253-nucleotide ribosomal RNA is filed under the name uncultured bacterium. RNAcentral describes it as "partial 16S ribosomal RNA". It matches the Rfam family "Bacterial small subunit ribosomal RNA", at positions 524 to 776 of the family's 1533-position model. The record is from RNAcentral.